CCUACGGGUGGCAGCAGUGAGGAAUAAUGGUCAAUGGACGAAAGUCUGAACCAGCGAUGCCGCGUGCAGGAAGAAGGCUCUAUGAGUUGUAAACUGCUUUUAUAUGGGGGUAAAAGAAGAAACGAGUAUCAGUAUGAAAGUAUAGUACGAACUAGGAUCGGCUAACUCCGUGCCAGCAGCCGCGGUAAUACGGAGGAUUCAAGAGUUAUCCGGAUUUACUGGGUGUAAAGGGUGCGUAGGGGGUUGGAUAAGUGAGGGGUGAAAGGCCGUGGCUCAACUCGGGAAUUGCAGCUGAUACUGUACGACUAGAGUGAAGGAGCGGUAAGCGGAAUGUAUGGUGUAGCGGUGAAAUGCGUAGAUAUCACACAGAACACCGAUUGCGAAGGCAGCUUACUAGACUACAACUGACGUUGAGGCACGAAGGCGUGGGGAGCAAACAGGAUUAGAUACCCUUGUAGUC
RNAcentral lists this ribosomal RNA (460 nucleotides) under uncultured bacterium. Its description in RNAcentral is "partial 16S ribosomal RNA". It matches the Rfam family "Bacterial small subunit ribosomal RNA", at positions 338 to 795 of the family's 1533-position model. The record is from RNAcentral.